This 428-nucleotide ribosomal RNA is filed under the name uncultured prokaryote. RNAcentral's name for it is "bacterial SSU rRNA". It matches the Rfam family "Bacterial small subunit ribosomal RNA", at positions 355 to 774 of the family's 1533-position model. The record is from RNAcentral.
UGAGGAAUAUUGCGCAAUGGGCGAAAGCCUGACGCAGCAACGCCGCGUGGGUGAUGAAGGCCUUCGGGUCGUAAAGCCCUGUCAGGUGGGAAGAAUGUCCCGGGACUGAACAGGUUCCGGGAGUGACGGUACCUCCGGAGGAAGCACCGGCUAACUCCGUGCCAGCAGCCGCGGUAAUACGGAGGGUGCAAGCGUUAAUCGGAAUCACUGGGCGUAAAGCGCACGUAGGCGGUCCUGCAAGUCAGGCGUGAAAUCCCUUGGCUCAACCGGGGAAUUGCGUUUGAAACUGCAGGGCUGGAGUACUGGAGAGGGUGGCGGAAUUCCCGGUGUAGGAGUGAAAUCAGUAGAUAUCGGGAGGAACACCAGUGGCGAAGGCGGCCACCUGGACAGAUACUGACGCUGAGGUGCUAAAGCGUGGGGAGCAAACA